RNAcentral lists this ribosomal RNA (468 nucleotides) under uncultured bacterium. Its description in RNAcentral is "partial 16S ribosomal RNA". It matches the Rfam family "Bacterial small subunit ribosomal RNA", at positions 28 to 507 of the family's 1533-position model. The record is from RNAcentral.
GACGAACGCUGGCGGCGUGCUUAACACAUGCAAGUCGAACGGAAAGGCCCUGCUUUUGUGGGGUGCUCGAGUGGCGAACGGGUGAGUAACACGUGAGUAACCUGCCCUUGACUUUGGGAUAACUUCAGGAAACUGGGGCUAAUACCGGAUAGGAGCUCCUGCUGCAUGGUGGGGGUUGGAAAGUUUCGGCGGUUGGGGAUGGACUCGCGGCUUAUCAUCUUGUUGGUGGGGGAGUGGCUUACCCUGGGUUUGACGGGUAGCCGGCAUGAGAGGGUGACCGGCGACAUUGGGACUGAGGUACGGACCAGACUCCUACGGGAGGCAGCAGUGGGGAAUAUUGCACAAUGGGCGGAAGCCUGAUGCAGCAACGCCGCGUGCGGGAUGACGGCCUUCGGGUUGUAAACCGCUUUCGCCUGUGACGAAGCGUGAGUGACGGUAAUGGGUAAAGAAGCACCGGCUAACUACGUG